GACGAACCGUGCGAACGUUGUUCGGAAUCACUGGGCUUAAAGGGCGCGUAGGCGGACCAUCAAGUCCGGGGUGAAAUCCUCCGGCUUAACCGGAGAAUUGCCUGGGAUACUGGUGGUCUUGAGGGAGGUAGGGGCACGCGGAACUUCCGGUGGAGCGGUGAAAUGCGUUGAUAUCGGAAGGAACGCCGGUGGCGAAAGCGGCGUGCUGGCCCUCUUCUGACGCUGAGGAGCGAAAGCCAGGGGAGCAAACGGG
This 253-nucleotide ribosomal RNA is filed under the name uncultured bacterium. Its description in RNAcentral is "partial 16S ribosomal RNA". It matches the Rfam family "Bacterial small subunit ribosomal RNA", at positions 524 to 776 of the family's 1533-position model. The record is from RNAcentral.